GCCCCGUCCCCCCGAAAGCCGGGGAGCUGACGCCACAACUGGGGGCUCUGCUGCAGGCCCUGAAACCCAGGCAGGGGGAACCCAACCUGCUGCGGUCGCUGUCGCUGCCAGAGGCAACGCCGCUCUGGGACCCCUCGCAGCCCCCCGGCAACGAUUUGGGGCUGUGGGAGCUGCCCCUCAGCCCCCCCCUGCAGAGCCCCAUCCUGGAGCAGCUGCAGCUGCAGCACAAGCUGCAGGAGCUCCGCGCCCGGCGGGAGGAGGACCAC
Gavia stellata (red-throated loon) is the source of this 266-nucleotide long non-coding RNA. RefSeq lists it as uncharacterized. The transcript has 4 exons. The record is from RefSeq and is a predicted model, not a curated record. Lineage: Eukaryota; Metazoa; Chordata; Aves; Gaviiformes; Gaviidae.